AACGAACGCUGGCGGCAUGCCUAACACAUGCAAGUCGAACGAAGGCUUCGGCCUUAGUGGCGCACGGGUGCGUAACGCGUGGGAAUCUGCCCUUAGGUUCGGAAUAACAGCUGGAAACGGCUGCUAAUACCGGAUGAUAUCGCGAGAUCAAAGAUUUAUCGCCUGAGGAUGAGCCCGCGUUGGAUUAGGUAGUUGGUGGGGUAAAGGCCUACCAAGCCGACGAUCCAUAGCUGGUCUGAGAGGAUGAUCAGCCACACUGGGACUGAGACACGGCCCAGACUCCUACGGGAGGCAGCAGUGGGGAAUAUUGGACAAUGGGCGAAAGCCUGAUCCAGCAAUGCCGCGUGAGUGAUGAAGGCCCUAGGGUUGUAAAGCUCUUUUACCCGGGAAGAUAAUGACUGUACCGGGAGAAUAAGCCCCGGCUAACUCCGUGCCAGCAGCCGCGGUAAUACGGAGGGGGCUAGCGUUGUUCGGAAUUACUGGGCGUAAAGCGCACGUAGGCGGCUUUGUAAGUCAGAGGUGAAAGCCUGGAGCUCAACUCCAGAACUGCCUUUGAGACUGCAUCGCUUGAAUCCAGGAGAGGUCAGUGGAAUUCCGAGUGUAGAGGUGAAAUUCGUAGAUAUUCGGAAGAACACCAGUGGCG
This 643-nucleotide ribosomal RNA is filed under the name uncultured Alphaproteobacteria bacterium. RNAcentral describes it as "bacterial SSU rRNA". It matches the Rfam family "Bacterial small subunit ribosomal RNA", at positions 28 to 717 of the family's 1533-position model. The record is from RNAcentral. Lineage: Bacteria; Pseudomonadati; Pseudomonadota; Alphaproteobacteria.